This is a non-coding RNA of Schistosoma haematobium, 45 nucleotides long. NCBI's taxonomy places the organism in Eukaryota, Metazoa, Platyhelminthes, Trematoda, Strigeidida, Schistosomatidae. The record is from Rfam.
AUCCAGCUGAGAAGUCUCAAACAGGACGAAACGCGCGUCCUGGAU